ACCUGCGGAUAUGCAUAUCAAUAAGCGGAGGAAGAUUCCGUAGGGGAAAGGAAGAAUACGCCUAUCAAUUUGCGGAGGAAGGUUCCCGUCAGCAAAAGAUAAUAAUUACAACUUUCAACAACGGAUCUCUUGGUUCUGGCAUCGAUGAAGAACGCAGCGAAAUGCGAUAAGUAGUGUGAAUUGCAGAAUUCAGUGAAUCAUCGAAUCUUUGAACGCACAUUGCGCCCCUUGGUAUUCCAUGGGGCAUGCCUGUUCGAGCGUCAUUUGUACCCUCAAGCUCUGCUUGGUGUUGGGUGUUUGUCCCGCAGUUUUUCACGUGGACUCGCCUUAAAGCAAUUGGCAGCCGGCAUAUUGGCCUGGAGCGCAGCACAUUUUGCGCCCCUUGCCCUGAAUGUUGGCAUCCAUCAAGCCCAUUUAUUUGCUCUUGACCUCGGAUCAGGUAGGGAUACCCGCUGAACU
RNAcentral lists this ribosomal RNA (459 nucleotides) under Leptosphaeria sp. RNAcentral's name for it is "eukaryotic LSU rRNA". The stretch from base 110 to 263 matches the Rfam family "5.8S ribosomal RNA". Lineage: Eukaryota; Fungi; Ascomycota; Dothideomycetes; Pleosporales; Leptosphaeriaceae. The record is from RNAcentral.